Molecule: long non-coding RNA, 515 nt
Organism: Coregonus clupeaformis (lake whitefish)
Lineage: Eukaryota; Metazoa; Chordata; Actinopteri; Salmoniformes; Salmonidae
Exons: 2
Source: RefSeq, a predicted model, not a curated record
AUUAGAACCAGCGACCUUUUGGUUACUGGCACAACGCUCUUAACCACUAAGCUACCUGCCGCCCUUCUACUGCUGGGUGGAAAUCUGCACAGAGGAGGCAGAGUGUAAACAACGCUGCUCCAUCACCUGUGAGUGUUUCAGGUCCCUAUGUUUUACAUUCACCUUAACGCUGUGAAUUGGGUAAUUUCAUCCAAUAGUCAUGCUGUCUCAUCCUCCUCCAUCCAGCACCUGAUGGUGAGAGGGCGAGGAGGGAGUCUGGGUCAGAUCGAGUCUCCCAGUUAGUCUCAUUUGGUCCUGUGCUGUUGGGUCAGAACAGUUCUGGACAGGAACAGGAAGGGAAUCAUAGUGAUCAUCUGAAUAUAGCAUUUCAGGUGUCAAUGUACUCUGUACCUCCAUCCUGUUCUCUUCAUGGUCGAUGAGUUGUCAAGUGGAAGAAAAUGACGUGGAAAUGGAAACCAGAAACAAGGAGACUGGCCUACAGGUUGAACAAGCCCAAUAAAGCACUUCUAUGCACA